UCUUUGCACGAAAUUUAAGGUUGGGUUAUAUUUUUAUAUAACACAUUAAAAGGGAAUCAAGUAAAAACUUGAGCUGUACCCGCAACUGUAAACUUAGUUCUGAAAAGAAUGCUUGUUGUUAGCUGCAAAGCCACUGUUCGCCCCUGCGAUUGGGAAGGUAAACAACAAGACGUAAGCCAGGAGACCUGCCUUUAUAACAAAUAUCGA
This 207-nucleotide non-coding RNA is filed under the name Flavobacterium reichenbachii. The record is from RNAcentral. Lineage: Bacteria; Pseudomonadati; Bacteroidota; Flavobacteriia; Flavobacteriales; Flavobacteriaceae.